UAUGGCGGUCUCGUGAAACGAAGCUGUUAUCUCAUUUGUGCGUUGAGGCUUUUCUUGUUUCAUGAAUUUCGAGCGCGCUAACGUCGAGAGAGAGCUCACUUCAUCAAAACGCAUCGAAUCAUCCAGUCAUUGUUUCUCCGAGGUGGAACCGGCCAACGGGAUUGCGUUCGUAAGGUAGACACUGCCUGCUACUCCAUCUUUUCUCUAGCAAGUGCAGGUGGUAUUAGGUGACAUGGAAAAGGUCAUCGGUUUCAUGGGCUUCCUUCCAAGGCGAUGGAAAUCGAGAAAGCCUAUGCCAGUCAAAAUAAGUUUCUACCAUCAGCUGAGUGGCUUCCCAUUUGCCAGGAUGAUUAAGGAUCACGAGGAGUGGGUAGGAUUUGAUUUGGAGUCCCGAGACACCUUGGUGACAUUGGUCACAGAUUCAGACGUGACGUUGGAGGCUUGUUCGAAAAAUGGUGUAAAAGUAAGAAAGGUA
Molecule: long non-coding RNA, 475 nt
Organism: Strongylocentrotus purpuratus (purple sea urchin)
Lineage: Eukaryota; Metazoa; Echinodermata; Echinoidea; Camarodonta; Strongylocentrotidae
Exons: 3
Source: RefSeq, a predicted model, not a curated record